RNAcentral lists this ribosomal RNA (270 nucleotides) under uncultured bacterium. RNAcentral's name for it is "partial 16S ribosomal RNA". It matches the Rfam family "Bacterial small subunit ribosomal RNA", at positions 28 to 291 of the family's 1533-position model. The record is from RNAcentral.
GAUGAACGCUAGCGGCAGGCUUAAUACAUGCAAGUCGUGGGGCAGCAUGACUGUAGCAAUACAGUUGAUGGCGACCGGCAAACGGGUGCGGAACACGUACACAACCUUCCUUUAAGUGGGGAAUAGCCCGGGGAAACCCGGAUUAAUACCCCGUAAUAUAAUGAAGUGGCAUCACUUUAUUAUUAUAGCUCCGGCGCUUGAAGAUGGGUGUGCGACUGAUUAGGCAGUUGGCGGGGUAAUGGCCCACCAAACCUACGAUCAGUAACUGGU